This 468-nucleotide ribosomal RNA is filed under the name uncultured bacterium. RNAcentral's name for it is "partial 16S ribosomal RNA". It matches the Rfam family "Bacterial small subunit ribosomal RNA", at positions 28 to 507 of the family's 1533-position model. The record is from RNAcentral.
GACGAACGCUGGCGGCGUGCUUAAUACAUGCAAGUCGAACGGAAAGGCCCUGCUUUUGUGGGGUGCUCGAGUGGCGAACGGGUGAGUAACACGUGAGUAACCUGCCCUUGACUUUGGGAUAACUUCAGGAAACUGGGGCUAAUACCGGAUAGGAGCUCCUGCUGCAUGGUGGGGGUUGGAAAGUUUCGGCGGUUGGGGAUGGACUCGCGGCUUAUCAGCUUGUUGGUGGGGUAGUGGCCUACCAAGGCUUUGACGGGUAGCCGGCCUGAGAGGGUGACCGGCCACAUUGGGACUGAGAUACGGCCCAGACUCCUACGGGAGGCAGCAGUGGGGAAUAUUGCACAAUGGGCGGAAGCCUGAUGCAGCAACGCCGCGUGCGGGAUGACGGCCUUCGGGUUGUAAACCGCUUUCGCCUGUGACGAAGCGUGAGUGACGGUAAUGGGUAAAGAAGCACCGGCUAACUACGUG